Molecule: non-coding RNA, 204 nt
Organism: Pelobates cultripes (western spadefoot toad)
Lineage: Eukaryota; Metazoa; Chordata; Amphibia; Anura; Pelobatidae
Source: the annotation of a GenBank genome assembly
GGAGAGUCUGAUGGCGGGAGGCAGGCUAUUCCAUAGGAAGGGAGCUGCCCGCGAGAAGUCCUGCAAGCGCGAGUUGGCCGUACGGGUGCGGACAACGGACAGGAGGUGGUCACGGGCAGAGCGGAGAGACCGAGAAGGGACAUACCUAUGGAUCUGUGAGGAGAUAUAAGAGGGGCUAGAGUUGUUCAGUGCUUUAUAGGUGUG